UUUCUUUGAAGAGUGACGGGCGAUUUGUGCAUGCUUGGUUUAUUUUUUAUAAGAUGUUUUUUCUUAGUUAUUAGUUUUAAGUCCUUUUUCUUCUUUUUUUGUUUUUAUUUCACAAUAAAUUUUAGUAUCCCAAAUUCUCUAAUUUAUUGCCUUUGUCUUGAUUUGUUUUUUAAUAUUUUUUAUUCUUAGAGAAAAAAUUUUUUUUUUGUCUUAACAAUGAUAUAAAAAGUUAAAAUUUUAGUUUCAAUUUAUUGUGGGCCAUCUAUUACGAUUCAGGAUCCCCUAUUAAUAUCAAACACCGCCAUCUUUUUUAGGUUUUUUUUAUUUAAUUACUAUCUUUAUUUUUUUUAAAA
Molecule: ribosomal RNA, 353 nt
Filed under: Tetra sp. GZ17
Lineage: Eukaryota; Metazoa; Arthropoda; Arachnida; Trombidiformes; Eriophyidae
Description: partial small subunit ribosomal RNA
Source: RNAcentral